Molecule: ribosomal RNA, 399 nt
Filed under: Capra hircus (goat)
Lineage: Eukaryota; Metazoa; Chordata; Mammalia; Artiodactyla; Bovidae
Description: partial small subunit ribosomal RNA
Rfam family: Bacterial small subunit ribosomal RNA
Source: RNAcentral
CACUAUGCUUAGCCCUAAACACAAAUAAUUACAGAAACAAAAUUAUUCGCCAGAGUACUACCGGCAACAGCCCGAAACUCAAAGGACUUGGCGGUGCUUUAUACCCUUCUAGAGGAGCCUGUUCUAUAAUCGAUAAACCCCGAUAAACCUCACCAAUCCUUGCUAAUACAGUCUAUAUACCGCCAUCUUCAGCAAACCCUAAAAAGGAACAAAAGUAAGCUCAAUCACAACACAUAAAGACGUUAGGUCAAGGUGUAACCCAUGGAAUGGGAAGAAAUGGGCUACAUUUUCUACCUUAAGAAAAUUAAUACGAAAGCCAUUAUGAAAUUAAUGACCAAAGGAGGAUUUAGUAGUAAACUAAGAAUAGAGUGCUUAGUUGAAUUAGGCCAUGAAGCACGC